CGGGAGGCAGCAGUGGGGAAUAUUGCACAAUGGGCGCAAGCCUGAUGCAGCCAUGCCGCGUGUGUGAAGAAGGCCUUCGGGUUGUAAAGCACUUUCAGUCGUGAGGAAGGCGGUGUAGUUAAUAGCUGCAUUGUUUGACGUUAGCGACAGAAGAAGCACCGGCUAACUCCGUGCCAGCAGCCGCGGUAAUACGGAGGGUGCGAGCGUUAAUCGGAAUUACUGGGCGUAAAGCGCAUGCAGGUGGUUUGUUAAGUCAGAUGUGAAAGCCCGGGGCUCAACCUCGGAAUUGCAUUUGAAACUGGCAGACUAGAGUACUGUAGAGGGGGGUAGAAUUUCAGGUGUAGCGGUGAAAUGCGUAGAGAUCUGAAGGAAUACCGGUGGCGAAGGCGGCCCCCUGGACAGAUACUGACACUCAGAUGCGAAAGCGUGGGGAGCAAACAGGAUUAGAUACCCUGGUAGUCCACGCCGUAAACGAUGUC
RNAcentral lists this ribosomal RNA (479 nucleotides) under Vibrio parahaemolyticus. Its description in RNAcentral is "bacterial SSU rRNA". It matches the Rfam family "Bacterial small subunit ribosomal RNA", at positions 342 to 813 of the family's 1533-position model. Lineage: Bacteria; Pseudomonadati; Pseudomonadota; Gammaproteobacteria; Vibrionales; Vibrionaceae. The record is from RNAcentral.